GAGGCGUGAUAAGUGUUAUGUUUUACAGCUUAGAUUAUUAAAUGAUUAUGAUGAUGUUAUUGUUUUUCUCAUAUUGUUUUCAUAAAUUCCACCAAGGUAAGUGGAUGGUAAAGGUUUUCAUGUUAAUAAACGAGUUUAUUGUAAAUUGUGCUCCAUUGGUCUUUUUGUGGUUUUCUACCCACCUUUAUUUCCGUGACGGUGAGAUAUCGUGAUGUUCUUACUGGGCUAGUGUAGCUCACUCCUUAAUUAACCAUUUCAGAUCAGGAAGACAUGGUUCCCGAGCCCGUUCCGCAGGAGGACGACGAAGGGGAUGCCUAGAGACUCUGUAGACAUACGCAUAGUCUUAUUUUCGAGUUCCUCUCUUAGUUAGUUUAACCUUUUAUAUUUUAAGUACGUUUGUUUGGUUUUUCGUGUAAGGGAUGUUAAUUGAAAUUUUGAUCUCGCUUCCGCAUUUGAUAUAUUUAAAUACUCAUUUCAUUUUAAUAUUUCCGGGGUCGUUACAGUUGGUAUCAGAGCCGCAUUUCCUCGGACCCAUCCCUUACACAAUAGUGCCUUAGAGUAAUACUCAUUGAUAUAUCGUUACUCAAUCAUUACUUGUGAAGACGAGUACACGGGAAUGAGGAGAGGAAGGCCCCCACUAAACCAAGCGGCCCAAGAUAAUUCGCUUCGGGAGGAUUUAGACAGACUAUUUGAGAUGGUGGAGGCUCUCGUAACUGCCCAGCAAAGGCAAGAGGAGAGAAGGGAGUUACCCGGACCUCCUCCGCUAGCGCAGGUUGAGCCCCCGCUACAGUAGGCUGAUCUCGAGCCACCCCGGCAGGAGCCUGUUCCUCCACAGUACCACCCGGCGCCACAGCCGCGGUACGACCCUGUACCACAGCCACGGUACCAGCAGGCGUCGCCACAGCACAUUCCAGUACCCCCACCACAUCAGCAGGUGCCACCACAGGGUCCCCCAGUUAACCCUCAGCCGGCCCAAGUUCCUCUACCUCGGGACCCCGCUACUUCCUUGAUCGACCCCGGCUUCAUAGAGAGGUACAGAAGACUGAACCCUUCUACUUUUGCAGGGGGAUCCUCUUUUGAAGAGGCCCAAUACUAGCUGGCAGAGACUGAAAGAGCUUUCGAGACCUUGGGAGUAGUUCCUGAGCAGAGGGCUGCCAUUGCCUCCUACAUGCUAGUAGGGGAGACAUUGCUAGGAGAGGUUGUCUACAGGGCAUGUGUCGUGGAGAUAGCAGAUAGGAAAUUGAGGGUAGACCUGAUAGGGUUAGACACAUGGGAUUUUGAUGUAAUCCUAGGAAUGGAUUGGCUAGCGGUGUAUCACACCACUAUAGAUUGCUUUAACAAAAAGAUUGUAUUUAAUCCUCCCAACGAGGAGCCAUUUACAAGUUAAUAAAAUUAUUCGGUACUGAUUUUCCCUAAUGACAAAUUCUUUUCUUCUUAAUUCCCAGUGCCUUAAUAUUGUAUUUUCCCUAACUACGUAAACCCAAGAAAGAANNNNNNNNNNNNNNNNNNNNNNNNNNNNNNNNNNNNNNNNNNNNNNNNNNNNNNNNNNNNNNNNNNNNNNNNNNNNNNNNNNNNNNNNNNNNNNNNNNNNNNNNNNNNNNNNNNNNNNNNNNNNNNNNNNNNNNNNNNNNNNNNNNNNNNNNNNNNNNNNNNNNNNNNNNNNNNNNNNNNNNNNNNNNNNNNNNNNNNNNNNNNNNNNNNNNNNNNNNNNNNNNNNNNNNNNNNNNNNNNNNNNNNNNNNAAAGAAGUUUGUAUCCAAGAGAUUCCAGUAGUCCGAGACUUUCCAUACGUAUUUCCGGAUGAACUGCCCGGUCUACCAGGGGACAGAGAGGUCGAGUUCACCAUAGACUUACAGCCAGGAACCCAGCCCAUCUCGGUAGCUCCUUACCAAAUGAGCCGCAUCGAGAUGGAAGAGCUAAGGAAACAAAUCACUGAGCUACAAAACAGUGGCUUCAUUAGACACAGCAUUUCCCCAUGGGGUGCCGGGGUUACUUUUGCAAAAAAAAAAAGGGGGAUGGAACGUUGAGACUGUGUAUUGAUUAUAGAAGGAUAAACAAGGUAACAAUUAAAAAAAACAAGUACCCUCUUCCCCGGAUUGAUGACCUUUUCGAUCAGUUGCAGGGUGCACAGGUCUUUUCUAAAAUAGAUCUACGAUCAGGUUACCAUCAGGUAAAAGUGAGAGCAGAAGACAUCCCCAAGACGGCAUUCCGAACCAGGUACGGACACUAUGAGUUCCUGGUUAUGCCGUUUGGGCUAACCAACGCCCCGGCCAUCUUUUUGGAUCUAAUGAACAGAAUCUUCAGAGAGUUUUUGGAUAAAUUUGUCAUCGUGUUCAUCGAUGAUAUCUUAGUCUACUCAAAAAGUAGAGAAGAACAUGCUCAUCAUCUUGCCCAAGUCCUCCAGGUACUCAGGGAAAAGAAGUUGUAUGCAAAGUUGAGCAAGUGUGGAUUUUGGCUCGAGCAAACCGCCUUCCUAGGACAUGUUAUAUCGAAGGAAGGGGUGUCGGUGAACCCCGAAAAGGUUGAAGCGGUACUUGGUUGGGAAAGGCUGACAACAGUUAAGGAAAAUCGCAGUUUCCUAGGGAUGGUGGGUUAUUACCGCCGGUUUGUCGAAGGGUUCUCCAGUCUAGCGGCCCCUCUAACCCGACUCACAAAGAAGAAUGCAAAGUUUGAUUGGAAUGAGAACUGCGAAAGGAGUUUUUCAGAAUUGAAGAAGCGACUGACUACUGCACCCGUGCUGGCUCUACCGAGUGGAUCAGGAGGGUAUACAGUUUAUAGUGAUGCCUCCUAUCUGGGCCUGGGUUGUGUCCUGAUGCAGCAUGGAAAGGUUAUAGCAUAUGGGUCUAGACAGCUAAAGAAUCAUGAGAAGAACUAUCCUACCCAUGACUUGGAGCUUGCCGCAAUCAUACACGCCUUGAAAAUCUGGCGCCAUUAUUUGUAUGGAGAGACCUUUCAGAUCUACACCGAUCAUAAGAGUUUGAAGCACAUCUUCACUCAGAAGGAUCUCAACAUGCGUCAGAGAAGGUGGAUGGAACUCCUCAAGGACUAUGAUUGUGACAUCCUAUACCAUCCAGGUAAGGGCAACGUAGUAGCCGAUGCCCUCAGUAGGAAGAGUGCAGGCACCCUAGCCCAUCUGAUGGUUUCGGAAUGCAGGUCCAUUGGGGCUACGCAGCAGGUUCGACUGCAAGAUCUGAAGAGGGCCACAUGUUUGAGCCACCUAGCAGUCCAACCCGAGUUAAUCCAAAGAAUAAAGGAAGCCCAGUCAGUCGACCCCGCCCUAGUAAACCGCAAGAAGGAUGCAGAACAAGGAGUAAACUCAGAAUUUCAGAUCUCUGCCGACGGAUUGAUUCGUUUCAAGGACAGAAUGUGUGUCCCAGACGACAAUGAAUUAAAAAGAGACAUCAUGACAGAGUCCCAUAGUUCAAGGUUCGCCAUGCAUCCAGGAAGUACAAAAAUGUACCAAACUAUGCGACCCCGAUUCUGGUGGAAUGGGAUGAAGAGAGAUAUAGCCGACUUUGUAUCUAAGUGCUUGGUAUGUCAGCAGGUCAAGGCAGAACAUCAACGCCCAGGGGGGUUGCUUCAGCCUUUGCCGAUUCCAGAAUGGAAGUGGGAACACAUCACUAUGGACUUCGUAUCGGGACUACCCAAGGCACGAUCGGGACACGAUGCCAUAUGGGUAAUUGUUGAUCGACUCACUAAGUCUUCCCACUUCCUGGCCAUCAGAAUGACUGAUUCGUUGGACAAGUUGGCAAGAAUGUAUGUCCGGGAAAUAGUCAGACUGCAUGGGGUCCCAGUAACAGUGGUGUCCGACAGGGAUCCCAGAUUCACUUCUCGGUUCUGGAAUAGUUUCCAGCAAGCUAUGGGAACAAAGCUGUCCCUUAGUACUGCCUUCCACCCCCAAACCGAUGGACAAUCAGAGAGGACAAUCCGUACACUGGAGGAUAUGCUCCGAGCUUGUGUCCUUGACUCCGGAGGCCAUUGGGACGACCACCUACCCCUGAUAGAGUUUGCCUACAACAACAGUUACCAAGCAAGCAUCGGCAUGGCCCCAUACGAGGCGCUAUACGGGCGUCCGUGCAGGUCACCGAUUUGUUGGGAGGAAGUGGGCGAUAGAAGAUUGUUUGGCCCGGAUUUGGUGGAAGAAACCACGUCCAAGAUAGUUAAGAUCAAGAAGAACAUCCAGACAGCUCAGAGUAGGCAAAAGAGCUAUGCUGAUACCCGGAGGAGAGACCUGGCCUUUGAGAAAGGUGACCGUGUGUUUCUUAAAGUCACCCCCUUCAAGGGAAUUAGUAGGUUCGGCAGAAGGGGAAAAUUAAACCCCAGAUACAUUGGACCCUUUGAAAUCUUAGACAAGAUUGGUACCACUGCCUACAGACUUGCACUGCCCCCUGAGCUCUCCCGGGUUCACAAUGUGUUUCAUGUAUCCAUGCUGCGCAAGUACAAUCCGGACCCUUCUCAUGUCGUGGCUCAUGAACCGCUUUCACUCCGAGAGGACUUGUCUUAUGAAGAAGUACCGGUCAGUAUCACAGACCGAGAAAGCAGAAUACUCCGUAACCGGGAAAUAUCAUUUGUAAAAGUCUUGUGGCAGAACCACACACCUAGGGAGGCGACUUGGGAGCUGGAAUCAGAAUUUAGGGCCCAAUAUCCUCAUCUGUUUGAUCAAGAGUAAUGAGGCAAAUUUGGGGACCAAAUUUCUUUAUGGGGGGGAGAGUUGUAGCACCCGGAAAGGAGGAGGAAAAAAAAAAAAAAAAAAAAAAAAAAAAAAAAAAAAAAAAAAAAAAAAGGGGGGGGGGCCACGUCAGCAGCCGCGUCAGCAGCCACGUCAGCAGUCCCGGCCAACCAGGGCCUGACACGUGGCAAGAUCGCGUCACUCCGAAAGGAGCCACGUUGGCGAUCCGCGUGGGUGCGAUCCGACGGCCCAGAUCAAUCACGCGAUCGGACGGCCCAGAUUCAAUCGCACGGACGGCCCAGAUUCAAUCAAAAACGAACGGCCCAGAUUAAAACAAAAUGAACGGCUGUGAUCAAAAGGCAAGGGGUUAUAAAUAGAACCCCCACACCAGACCACAAACCCUAGCCGCCAGCCGCUCGCCGGAGAAGACGAACCAGAGGCCGACCGCCGCCACCCGCCGCCGCUCGCCGCCGCACCGGGGAAAUUUCCGACCGCCGAUCGAGGUAAAUUUCAUACCCCCGACUCGUUUUUCCCCACUGAUUCCUCCUAUGGCCAAAUCGAAACCGAAAUCCCGGCCAAACGGCCGGAAUACGCGGCCGAAGCCCAGCGGCGCCGCCGCGCCCCCUCUCGGUUUUUGCCUCCGACGAGGCCCUUCCCGGCCUCCGUUCGAUGCAAUUUUUAUAUCACCGUGAUCACCAUUCUUUUCUCUACAGGUUGACCGGAGCCGAAUCACCAAAACACGAACCUCGCCGGAGAGCCGCUGCACCCGAGAGCGCCGCCACCGGUAAGCUCCGUUUUUCCGUGAUUUUUUGGCCCCCCGAGGGCCCUAGGGUUGUUUUCUGACAAGGACCAAUGCGAGUGUGGCCGAAUUCGGCCGAAAACGGCCGAAAACAGUCAACCCGAGGUGACUCGCCGCCGCCAGCGGCGGCGCCGUCGCCGGAGCACGGCGGAGCCGCCGUGCCGGAGUUGCGAUUUGGGCCGAAAGAGGCCCUGGGCCUAAUUUGGAUUUUUUUUGGAACACGUGCAGGUACGGUUAGUGUGUUUCAGUUUCCCGGGAAAAAUUCAGGGAAAAUUAGGGACGGCCUGCAGGCGCACUGUGAAUCGUAUUCAGAUCCCGAAAACAAGUAAGGACCCCUCACCCUAUUUCCUAUCACGGUAUUAAAGUUCAAAAUGAUAAAAUGGUAUUUCUUGAAUUAACGCAUGUGUGAAAUUGCUUAAGGUUGCUAAUGGAGCCCGAGUCUAGUGUGAUUGAUGAUUUACUGUUAUUUGGUCUGUUUUACACUGUUUUACAGCUUUAAAUGCAUUAUGGGGUUUGAUGUGUUCAUUUUACAGAUUUGUGUGCAUAUACUACGUUUUUAUUAAUUAUGGGUUGAAUGACUGAAAAACUGAUAUUGUAUGUUGUCUGUUGGUAUGAAUUACGAUUUGCUUGUUUAAAUGUGAAUUGAUGAUGUUGAUUGAGGAAAAGGAAAAUGAAAGAUUGUAUAGACUGAUAAUUGUAUUAUGGGGGUCAGCCUGACUAGAUAUCCUGGGAGAUGGUGGACGGACCGGGUCCGUAGGGAACCCUACCGGGAUUGUGGUCUCACAUGCCGGACGGGGUAUGGAGAUCUUAUGGUUUUGGCGCCCAUACCGGACGGGGUAUGGGGACGGCCCGUUUCACCCUCAUACCGGACGGGGUAUUGAGGUUUAUGGUUUUGGCGCCCAUACCGGACGGGGUAUGAGGACGGCCCGUUUCACCCUCAUACCGGACGGGGUAUUGAGGUUCAUGGUUUUGGCGCCCAUACCGGACGGGGUAUGGGGACGGCCCUGGAAACUGAUUAUGAAUGUUAAAGGUUAACGGGUAGCGGAACCCCUAUGGACCCCCACGGAUACUAGUAGGCUGGUAAAUGAGAAAAAGGGAUAUGUUGUACAAUGAUUGAAUUACAAGAGGCGUGAUAAGUGUUAUGUUUUACAGCUUAGAUUAUUAAAUGAUUAUGAUGAUGUUAUUGUUUUUCUCAUAUUGUUUUCAUAAAUUCCACCAAGGUAAGUGGAUGGUAAAGGUUUUCAUGUUAAUAAACGAGUUUAUUGUAAAUUGUGCUCCAUUGGUCUUUUUGUGGUUUUCUACCCACCUUUAUUUCCGUGACGGUGAGAUAUCGUGAUGUUCUUACUGGGCUAGUGUAGCUCACUCCUUAAUUAACCAUUUCAGAUCAGGAAGACAUGGUUCCCGAGCCCGUUCCGCAGGAGGACGACGAAGGGGAUGCCUAGAGACUCUGUAGACAUACGCAUAGUCUUAUUUUCGAGUUCCUCUCUUAGUUAGUUUAACCUUUUAUAUUUUAAGUACGUUUGUUUGGUUUUUCGUGUAAGGGAUGUUAAUUGAAAUUUUGAUCUCGCUUCCGCAUUUGAUAUAUUUAAAUACUCAUUUCAUUUUAAUAUUUCCGGGGUCGUUACAAGUGCCAUUUGGAGUAAUAAAUAUAAUAUUUUUUUGAUGAG
RNAcentral lists this long non-coding RNA (7134 nucleotides) under Carica papaya (papaya). RNAcentral's name for it is "long non-coding RNA (CPAP_LNC006946)". The record is from RNAcentral. Lineage: Eukaryota; Viridiplantae; Streptophyta; Magnoliopsida; Brassicales; Caricaceae.